RNAcentral lists this unclassified non-coding RNA (250 nucleotides) under plant metagenome. RNAcentral's name for it is "partial contains small subunit ribosomal RNA, internal transcribed spacer 1, and 5.8S ribosomal RNA". The record is from RNAcentral.
GUAGGUGAACCUGCGGAAGGAUCAUUACAAAUCCACGUCUCUCUUCGAGACUUGUCGAAAUGUGUAAAAGAGCGAGAAUAGCAUAGUCAUGUCAUUGUCGUCAUACAAUCAUGUCUAUCUCUUCCUCCUCUUUAAUUGACCAGUGUUGAUCAGUUUAUUCACUUUUAAAUGAACACAACUUAUAACAAUGGAUCUCUAGGCUCUUGCAUCGAUGAAGAACGCAGCAUCUGACUGACUUCAGUACGAGGCA